This is a long non-coding RNA of Salvelinus sp. IW2-2015, 319 nucleotides long. RefSeq lists it as uncharacterized. Lineage: Eukaryota; Metazoa; Chordata; Actinopteri; Salmoniformes; Salmonidae. The record is from RefSeq and is a predicted model, not a curated record.
GUGACCAUCCUCCAACUGGAGUUUCCACGACAGCUGGGAGCCGUGCGAUACCUCCUCGCGUAUUGCUUUCAUAAAGAAUACGUAGGGACUGUCCUUAUUUCAACAUCCGCAAACAAACUUUUGGCGGCAUGGAAGACAAGAAGAGUCCAACCAGGCCGAAGCGUCAACCAAAGCCUUCGGCGGAAGAGGGAAAUUGGGACUGUAGCGUUUGCACAUACAAGAACACCGCGGAGGCUUUCAAGUGCAUGAUGUGCGAUGUAAGGAAAGGGACGUCAACACGGACAAUAACCCAAUAACCCUAUUUGACCAAGAAGGAGAG